GAUGAACGCUGGCGGCGCGCCUAACACAUGCAAGUCGAACGAUUAAAGCACCUUCGGGUGUGUAUAAAGUGGCGAACGGCUGAGUAACACGUGGGCAACCUGCCCCUUUCAUUGGGAUAGCCACGGGAAACCGUGGAUAAUACCGAAUACUUCGAGACUUCCGCAUGGAAGACUCGAGAAAGCUCCGGCGGCGUGGGAUGGGCCCGCGGCCUGUUAGCUUGUUGGUGGGGUAACGGCCUACCAAGGCAAUGAGGGGUAGCUGGGUUGAGAGACCGACCAGCCAGAUUGGGACUGAGACACGGCCCAGACUCCUACGGGAGGCAGCAGUGGGGAAUCUUGCACAGUGGGCGAAAGCCUGAUGCAGCGACGCCGCGUGCGGGAUGAAGGCCUUCGGGUUGUAAACCGCUUUCAGCAGGGACGAGGCGAAAGUGACGGUACCUGCAGAAGAAGCCCCGGCUAACUACGUG
RNAcentral lists this ribosomal RNA (467 nucleotides) under uncultured bacterium. RNAcentral's name for it is "partial 16S ribosomal RNA". It matches the Rfam family "Bacterial small subunit ribosomal RNA", at positions 28 to 507 of the family's 1533-position model. The record is from RNAcentral.